This is a long non-coding RNA of Sapajus apella (tufted capuchin), 195 nucleotides long. RefSeq lists it as uncharacterized. Lineage: Eukaryota; Metazoa; Chordata; Mammalia; Primates; Cebidae. The transcript has 3 exons. The record is from RefSeq and is a predicted model, not a curated record.
AUUGUGAUGAUUGUGCACAUGCAUGCGUCUUAAUGGUACAACAAUUUAUGCUUCUUUGGGUAUAUAUCCAAUAAUGGGAUUGCUGGGUCAAAUGGUAAUUCUAAGUUCUUUGAGAAAUCGUCACACUGCUUCCCACAAUGGCCGAACUAAUUAACAUUCUUACCAGCAGGGUAUAAACAAGCAUUCCCUCUUCUC